This 464-nucleotide ribosomal RNA is filed under the name Vreelandella stevensii. Its description in RNAcentral is "partial 16S ribosomal RNA". It matches the Rfam family "Bacterial small subunit ribosomal RNA", at positions 338 to 795 of the family's 1533-position model. The record is from RNAcentral. Lineage: Bacteria; Pseudomonadati; Pseudomonadota; Gammaproteobacteria; Oceanospirillales; Halomonadaceae.
CCUACGGGAGGCAGCAGUGGGGAAUAUUGGACAAUGGGGGCAACCCUGAUCCAGCCAUGCCGCGUGUGUGAAGAAGGCCCUCGGGUUGUAAAGCACUUUCAGUGAGGAAGAACGCCUGGUGGUUAAUACCCAUCAGGAAAGACAUCACUCACAGAAGAAGCACCGGCUAACUCCGUGCCAGCAGCCGCGGUAAUACGGAGGGUGCGAGCGUUAAUCGGAAUUACUGGGCGUAAAGCGCGCGUAGGUGGCUUGAUAAGCCGGUUGUGAAAGCCCCGGGCUCAACCUGGGAACGGCAUCCGGAACUGUCAAGCUAGAGUGCAGGAGAGGAAGGUAGAAUUCCCGGUGUAGCGGUGAAAUGCGUAGAGAUCGGGAGGAAUACCAGUGGCGAGGCGGCCUUCUGGACUGACACUGACACUGAGGUGCGAAAGCGUGGGUAGCAAACAGGAUUAGAUACCCUAGUAGUC